RNA transcript from Triticum dicoccoides, 4144 nucleotides. RefSeq lists it as uncharacterized. The transcript is spliced from 8 exons. The record is from RefSeq and is a predicted model, not a curated record. Lineage: Eukaryota; Viridiplantae; Streptophyta; Magnoliopsida; Poales; Poaceae.
CGAAGGGGAAAAGUAAAAAACGCGGCUCCUCUCGUCGAUCCCUGCUCUCACACGCAAGCCUCCUCUCUUCUCUCCCCCCGGCUCGCCGCCACCGCCGCCACCACUCACGACGGCCGAUUCCGGCGAGUACCAGUGGCGGGUGGCAGAUCAACGACCUCCCCACGCCCCGCUCCUUCCUCCCAUCCCUCCUGAUCCGACGAGGGCGGAGGCGGCGCCUCGUCCGACUCCUCCUCCCCGUCCUCAUCCUCCUCAUUCUCUGCCGCCACCGCCUCCUCCUCCAGCGCCCCUCCAGCGGCCGCAGCAACAGCCCCGCCGGCGGCGGCAGGGAGUACAACUUGUUCGGCGUCGUGCCCGUCAGGCCGGCCGCCGGGUACGGGGACGAGGAGGAAGAGGAGGCGAGAGAUUUGUUCGGCUCCGACAACGAGGAGUACUUCAAGACCCCCCGCGUAGCAACUACCUAAUUCCAGCGCGGGAUGCGACAACUCAUCUGGCCGGAGGAGAACAUGGCAGCGGCAUCUCCUGGUGACGGCGGUGGGGCAGGCAAUGCUUCAAGGCGACGGGCUGAGGCGGCGGUGCAGGGAUCCGCUCGGUCUGUUGUUGUUGCUGAGGGCGGAUGGAGCAGCCGGGGCAGGUUCGUCCGUGAUGCCAAGGUAAAUUUCUCUGAAUCUUUCUCCCCCUUGCCCCUGAUCUCUAUCACUCUUUCUCUUUCUGCCCAUCUAUGCAGUAUUGUGUAAGUGUUGUGGUUCCUUUUUUUUAAUAAACCUCUGAUCCUCAAGCGAGCGAGACCAACGGGGAAAGGAACAGGGCGUGGCCUCACAUGGUGGCUUGCCGUCUGCUUCAUUGUUUCAUACCUUUCUCUGUACAAUUUCUUCAGCUUCAGAAACUAUAAACAGGCCUCUACAUCUAUUCUUCAAAUUUUCAGAUCCACCGCUCCUUCUAGCUGUCUACACUGUACCCUGAACCGUUACUGAUAUGCACUUUAAAAAAAGGACAGACCCAGUGCAUAGAAGCUCCCACACAAGUUUAUUUUUAGAAGGGAUUUGAGAUGGCGCCCGACAUUAUAGUAAGUACAAGACUGUUGCUGAAUGAGUGGUGUGUGCAACCAGACCUCCGUCCACUUGUUUCAUCGUUUGAACAUUCACCGGUUCUUGAGAAUCUGACGCUUCAAUUGCGUAAGGUACAACUAAGCCUAACUCAUCUGGUUCCUGAACCUCUCCACCAACUUCUUUCAAGGGGAGAUCCUGAAUGUCGGCAUCCUUGGACCUUCGAAAGCAGUUGUAAGCUUAACUCUAGCCUCAUCUCAUUCCACCUUGUGUGUCCUUUAUGAUCUCAGCAGAUGUUAUAAAUAUGAAUGAUUGGUAUCUAUUAGCUUGUACCACAAGUCCACAACUGUAUUGGCUUGUACCACAAGUCCACAACUGUACUGGAUCAGAUUGUGCUCUGGUGCAUUUCAAAUGAUGCAGGUAUGUCGAAAAUCUGGAGCUUUGCAGGCUGCCCAUCCAUAAGGGUUGCCGUGGAAUCCUCGGGUUCCCUCCAGUGCUGCCGCAGAAAAUGAUCUUAUGCUAGAUUGAUUGUUCAAGUAUUUGAUUACUGAUAGGAACAGUCAGCUUAUUUUAUUUUGUAAAAAGACAGGAACAAUAUCCAGUACGAUUGACUUCUUCUGUAACAGCUUCAUUGAGGAGCUCAAAGGUCGUGACUGUGACUGUUCUUAGGCCAAUACUUUCAUUUGUUGUUAUAACAUUUGCAUCAUUCUUCACAAGUUGCGAAAUCAAGCAUGCUAACGGUGGCGAGCGAUUUGAGCGCCAAUGACUCAACAACUGAUUAUCAAUCAGGUUUGUCUAUUUUAUUUUCAUCGGCAAUGCUGCAUCCUUUUUGAGUUGCAAUGAUCAUAUGGUUCAGAUAGACAAUUUAAUCACUUUUCUUUUCUAUACCAAGUUUAUGCUUCAAUCGAUUAACAAUUAUUUUGAAUCACAAACCUAUUAUUCUUUGGAGUGGCCAAAUGUGUAUCUUUGAAUCUCCAAGUGCCACCGGAGGGCUAUAUAUAUUUCAUUGGUUCAUGGAUCAUUAGGAGGCACAUAAUGGUAGAAAUAAUUAGCUUGCAAGUUCUAUAUUGCCAGAGGAGUCAUAAUUCGUGUAGGGGAGCAAAGCCAUACAUGAUAAGCAAGGGGAACAUGCAACAUACGUAGCCGAGCGUGUCAACACUACAUACAACAGCUAUAUCCAGCAAAUUUUCUUUUGAUUUUGCUUUAUUCUAUUGAUCAGAUUUUCCAAGUCAUUUUUCCUUCGAGGUAUUUAGCAUUGCCAAAUUUAUAUAUUUACCUAAAUUUAAUCUUGACUCGAUUUGCUGUGGUCAAUACAAGCAUGAUGCCUUUUCUUUUCUAUAAAGUGGAUGCAGGGUUAGUUUACUAUGCCGAUCCGAGCGAGCGUCAGGCGCGCAAAGCUCACCGUCCACAUGCCUCCUCUUCGUCUGCAUCCGCAGUGCCAAAUCGCUCCCCAUCCGAGCAGCUAUAUCUAAACUUCUUGGUAAUGCAGUAGAUGAGGUUUGCAAUAUCUUCUAACAUCUUCUAUGAACUAGAUAGUGACUAAUUUAAAUUGUGUGAUAAUACUCAAAUGUCUGAAACACGGAGUAUUCUGUUGUAAGCUAAAAAUUUGAAAUUUCACAUUCCUGUUUCUGGAAAUACCAUGCUAUACUGCUAUCUAACACAAUGCUCGGUUGAUCGGUGUUCUAAUAACUUCGUGUAUUAUACUCUGUUGACAAAAACCAUGCUAAACCCUAAAAAACUUGCUAUACUACUAUUGCAUUUAUUUAUUUUGUUGUAUUAAUGUAUUGUAACAGAAAGUAUGUAUCUGCCAAAUGUGCACUGACAAAAGAUGGCAGGAACAAAUGUUUACAGAUCACACGACUACUCCACAAUCUAAAACACUGAGUAUUUUGAAGUUGGUUGUUCAAGCAGACACAAUGUGCACUGACAAAAGAUGGCAGGAACAAUGGUACACAGUCAUGAUAUAAUAACAUUGUAGAUAGAUGGAGACUGAAUUAGUUCACAUUACUUUGAUGUCUAUCGAGCCAAUGGAACAACAAAGGUAGUUCCUUCGCACAAUUUGAAGAAUGUUAUUUCAUAUUGCAUGAUAUGUCUGACUCAUUUCAGUGGGCCUUCAAUUAAUUUGAGGCAUCCUUUCCUAGGAUCUUACCUUGAUAUUCCUGUAUUUUCUCCUAUUCGUCCCAUGCUUUUUUAAGAACUGAAAUAAUUAUAACCAGUGUUACAAAUGUUUGCUGAGGAAAAGUCCUUGCAGAAAAGAAGAACCGGAAGCAGGUUUUCUAUCUUCACCAGUAUUUCCUUGUUUCUAAUUGUUGGCUCUUUCCUAUGGCCUAAGGUUAAGGAUUAAUACUUUUGAUAUCUAAUUUGAGAAAAUAGCUUCAUAGAACGUAAGUAGAAGGUAGACUGUAGCAUUGAUCAUUGAUAUUUUGUACAUAGACAGUUCAACGAACUGCUCUGAAAGGGGAUGUUGAGGGUGACGACGCCGCCGAGCAAGUCGGCAUCUGUAAAGCUUUGCCGGAGCCAUUCCAGCUCUUUCAGAGCCACAAGGCAAGGAAGCCGAGGAACUAGGACGCCAACAGUGCGGAGCCGUUUGCCAUCGAGAGGACUAGGAUUGCCAUCAGGGACCUCUAAACCAAGCUCAACAUCUCCCUCGCGCCAACAUCCACAUCGUGUCCCGGACGGUCGUCGCCGUCUGUGACGGCGAGCUACUGCCGCCGCAUCGUCAGUGCGGAGCCGUUUGCCAUCGAGAGGACUAGGGCUGCCAUCAGGGACCUCUAAACCAAGCUCAACAUCUCCCUCGCGCCAACAUCCACACCAUGUCCCGGAGGUUCGUCGCCGUCUGUGACGGCGAGCUACUGCCGACGCAUCGUCAGCCGCACGGUUAGAGGGAGGUAUCGCUGCCAGGGCCGACAUGCGUGUAAUUUCUAUUAAUGUAUCUUAUGUUGCCAAACAGAAACAUGCUCCUAUCGAUGCUAUAUCGUUGUGGGCGUGGCAUUUCAGUUUCUUCCUCAGACGAUGUUCCAAUAUAAUAAGUUCCAUAGAAUUGCAUGUACAUGUCCUGCUAUCUUGAUCCAAAAAGGAAAGUAAAAAAGGGUGUUCAUCUA